AAAAUGCAACCCUUUCUCCGGGUCUCACUGCCCCAAGAUCAAGGAAUCUCUCCCCUGGGACCCUCCUCCUCCUCCAGCAAUGCUGGUUGCCAGACUGGCAUUUCUCCCAGAAUAUUUUCUGCUGACCCAUCUCUCCUUGCCCCAGGAGAAGGAAGGGCAGAGAGGCACCCCUGGGGUCUAUCUCCUUCCUGUUUUCCCUGCAUCCUGCUUUCCUCAGACUAAAGAGCUGUUGAGGAUUGAGGAAGUGGAGUGGUCUGGGACCCAGAGCAGGAAGCUUGGGGCUGAAGUCCCAGCAGCAUCCGGACUGCAACAAUGGAGGAUUCAAAUAUCAGGAAAGAGAGAAGCUCCGAGGUGGUCAGAGAGCCUGGCUGUCAGAGAAGAGAGGACAACCAGAGUCAGGGAUACAGAGAGGCAGAACAUGCGAGGAGCAGAGGACGUGCAGAAGGAGUCACUGUCAGAGACGUCAAAAGAGCAACAGAGCAGCAGUAUCCGAGAUGGAAGCGGGAGGACUACAGAAAACCAGACUAAGACAGAGCAAGAGAAGGAAACUAGUGAAGCCCAGGAGACCCAGAAAAAGAGAACUCGGAGCUGUUUGGUGAAACUGGAAGCUGAGGACACAGCAGGAAAUAAAAGGACAAGAGAAAGAUUCUAAGAAGAAAUUGAGAAAGGCCCAGGGAUGAAUGGACAAAGGAGAAAGAAUGCCACCUGACAAAAGGAGGGAGCAAGAAACCUGGAUGUGCCACCCUGGCAGAAAGAGCCCUGCCUUCUCUUCCCCUGCUUCCCGUGCCUUUAGGGAAGUCCAAGUCUCAUGAUCUUUACCACUCAAGUCCUUCUGGUUUGUAUGCCCCACUUCACCACAGGGUGAUCACUGAAAGGCCCAGGCCCUGGGUCCUCACACCUCUGGCUUUCACCUGAAACUGGCUGUGGAUCAGGCUCUGGAUCAGGAACAGAAAGGAACCAUCCCAACACACACACACACACACACACACACACACACACACACACACACACCAUCCUUAUCGCAUACACUCACGCGCAAAUGCAAACACACACACUACCCUUAUCCUGCGUGUGCUCACAUACACACACAUACACAUGCACACGCACGGGUAAGUGCAAGCACAUGCACUAUCCUUAUCCCUCAUACACACACCCACACAUCAUCCUUAUCCCAUGCGCGUGUGCACGCGCGCACACACACAUACACACAUGCGAAUGCGUGCACACACAAAACCACACACUAUCCCUAUCCCACACGCGCACGCACACACACACACACACACACACACACACACACACACACAGGCAUGCACACAUCAUCCUUUAUCGCGGUCUUCUAGCUCUAGAUGACAAAUGUAACUGAAUCUGGUCAUGUAACUUACCACAGUCUCCUCAGGAGCUUGGCUUACCACUGAGGCCAAGGCCCCUCUUCCCAAAGAAGUACUUGGGAGGUUUGAGAUGAAAAAGUGGGGUAGGUUCCCCUUGACCAGUGGCAACUGGUGUUGGGAUUAAGUGGAGCUUUCUUGACUGUUCCUAUCAGGCUCUGCCACGUACCUCCCUCCUCCUCAACUCACAAGGGGCAUCGACGGGCCUUCCAGACCAGCCAGAAUGGGAACCAAGUUGCAGGGAGGAGGGUGUCUGGGAAAUGUGGCAGAGGGAAGGUGUAUCUUACCAGAGGUCUGCAGGCUUUCCUGGAUGGCUUCGAUUUCCGACAGCUCCGUGCAUACACCUUGCCCGUGCAUCAAUGUGCGCAGGGGCUUCUCCACCCCCCGGGGCGGGUAGCAGCGCAUGCCUGAGCCACAGCGUGGGGUGUACACCCCGCAAGGCAUCCCCAAGCCCAGGGCGCAAGUGGCACAACAACCGCAGCCAGGCUCCCGCACCAGCUCCUC
Rattus norvegicus (Norway rat) is the source of this 1889-nucleotide non-coding RNA. Lineage: Eukaryota; Metazoa; Chordata; Mammalia; Rodentia; Muridae. The record is from RefSeq and is a predicted model, not a curated record.